AUUGAACGCUGGCGGCAUGCCUUACACAUGCAAGUCGAACGGUAACGCGGGGCAACCUGGCGACGAGUGGCGAACGGGUGAGUAAUGCAUCGGAACGUGCCCAGUAGUGGGGGAUAGCCCGGCGAAAGCCGGAUUAAUACCGCAUACGACCUACGGGUGAAAGGGGGGGAUCGCAAGACCUCUCGCUAUUGGAGCGGCCGAUGUCAGAUUAGCUAGUUGGUGGGGUAAAGGCCUACCAAGGCGACGAUCUGUAGCUGGUCUGAGAGGACGACCAGCCCCACUGGGACGGGGACACGGCCCAGACUCCGACGGGAGGCAGCAGUGGGGAAUUUUGGACAAUGGGCGAAAGCCUGAUCCAGCCAUGCCGCGUGCGGGAAGAAGGCCUUCGGGUUGUAAACCGCUUUUGUCAGGGAAGAAAUCUUCUGAGUUAAUACCUCGGGAGGAUGACGGUACCUGAAGAAUAAGCACCGGCUAACUACGUGCCAGCAGCCGCCGUAA
This 498-nucleotide ribosomal RNA is filed under the name uncultured bacterium. Its description in RNAcentral is "partial 16S ribosomal RNA". It matches the Rfam family "Bacterial small subunit ribosomal RNA", at positions 29 to 523 of the family's 1533-position model. The record is from RNAcentral.